UACAGGGGGUGCAAGCGUUGCUCGGAAUCACUGGGCGUAAAGCGUACGCAGGCGGACCGUUAAGUCGGGUGUGAAAGCCCGGGGCUCAACCCCGGAACUGCAUUCGAUACUGGCGGUCUUGAAUACGGGAGAGGUGAGUGGAAUUCCUGGUGUAGAGGUGAAAUUCGUAGAUAUCAGGAGGAGCACCGGUGGCGAAAGCGGCUCACUGGCCCGAUAUUGACGCUCAUGUACGAAAGCGUGGGGAGCAAACAGG
RNAcentral lists this ribosomal RNA (253 nucleotides) under uncultured bacterium. RNAcentral's name for it is "partial 16S ribosomal RNA". It matches the Rfam family "Bacterial small subunit ribosomal RNA", at positions 524 to 776 of the family's 1533-position model. The record is from RNAcentral.